UUUGUUCUUGUCUUUGGGGGAAGCCAGGUGUGUACGGCAGCAGUGACUUGCAGCCCACUGGAGCUAGCUCCAUGCGCCACAGCAAUCACAUCCUCAAGCCCUCCCUCUGCCAUAUGUUGCGGCAAACUGAAGGAGCAGAGGCCUUGCCUUUGCAAGUAUGUCAAGGACCCUAACCUCCAGAAGCUGGUCAACUCCCCAAACGCCAAGAAGGUGGCAAGCACUUGUGGCUCCCCAUUUCCCUCAUGCUCUAGCUAA
This 255-nucleotide long non-coding RNA is filed under the name Prunus dulcis (almond). Its description in RNAcentral is "sRNA ncRNA". The record is from RNAcentral. Lineage: Eukaryota; Viridiplantae; Streptophyta; Magnoliopsida; Rosales; Rosaceae.